RNAcentral lists this transfer RNA (70 nucleotides) under Isoperla grammatica. RNAcentral describes it as "tRNA-His". The record is from RNAcentral. Lineage: Eukaryota; Metazoa; Arthropoda; Insecta; Plecoptera; Perlodidae.
ACUUGAGUAAUUUAAUUAAAAAAUAUUGAUUUGUGGUGUCAAAAAUAUGAGAUGAAACUCAUCUUAGGUC